CCUCCCACCCUCCUUCCCUCCUCCUCUUCCCAGCUCCCCCGCCCUCUGCUGCUCGCAGCCUCGCCAGUGAGAAUCUACUGUAAGUGUGAGUUGCUUCGACGAAGUCACACACCCACGGAGGGAAGUAAUCUGGAGGCUGCCUUGGCAUUUUUAGUGAUGUGUGGCCUCACCACUUAAAUCCAGUUUAUUGAAUCUGAAGUGAUUUGCUCCUCUUUCUGGACUACACAAUAAACACCCUCCAACGUCCCCAGCCAUGCUCUUCCCAUCAUUUGGCUGAAAGGGGAGGAAUUCAAGGCCUUAGAGUGGGGAAGCUACAAUUUGGAAGAAUCCUGGAAGCACAGAUUACCCUGUGAAGCAGCAUCCCCAUGAGGGUCUCUUUCUUCUGUGAUAUAAGCAAGAAAUAAAUGAAUUGUGCAAAUCCAGUGA
Long non-coding RNA from Homo sapiens (human), 426 nucleotides. Ensembl annotates it as EPHA5 antisense RNA 1. Its record names the gene EPHA5-AS1. The record is from Ensembl. Lineage: Eukaryota; Metazoa; Chordata; Mammalia; Primates; Hominidae.